Molecule: small nucleolar RNA, 216 nt
Filed under: Nicotiana tabacum (common tobacco)
Lineage: Eukaryota; Viridiplantae; Streptophyta; Magnoliopsida; Solanales; Solanaceae
Description: Plant small nucleolar RNA U3
Rfam family: Plant small nucleolar RNA U3
About the family: Small nucleolar RNAs (snoRNAs) are involved in the processing and modification of rRNA in the nucleolus. There are two main classes of snoRNAs: the box C/D class, and the box H/ACA class.
Source: Rfam by way of RNAcentral
ACGACCUUACUUGAACAGGAUCUGUUCUAUAGGCUCGUACCACUGUAUACUUGAGUCUCUAAGGAAGACAGAAAAUCAAGUUUGGUAGAUGAAUUCUGGCCAUUAGACCAGAGCGUGAUCAACAGCCCCUGUGACCUUCAGGCCAUGGAGACGUAGAUUAUCGUUCUCAGCCCCAACUAUGGGUGAUGGGAUGGUUUAAUGGUUGUCUGACAAACU